GUAGGUAUAGUUUAACUAAGACAUUAGAUUGUGGUUCUAAAAAUAGAGGUUAAACCCCUCUUACCCGCC
RNAcentral lists this transfer RNA (69 nucleotides) under Callichthys callichthys (cascarudo). RNAcentral's name for it is "tRNA-His". It matches the Rfam family "tRNA". From Rfam's summary of the family: Transfer RNA (tRNA) molecules are approximately 80 nucleotides in length. Their secondary structure includes four short double-helical elements and three loops (D, anti-codon, and T loops). Lineage: Eukaryota; Metazoa; Chordata; Actinopteri; Siluriformes; Callichthyidae. The record is from RNAcentral.